Long non-coding RNA from Cyprinus carpio (common carp), 977 nucleotides. RefSeq lists it as uncharacterized. The record is from RefSeq and is a predicted model, not a curated record. NCBI's taxonomy places the organism in Eukaryota, Metazoa, Chordata, Actinopteri, Cypriniformes, Cyprinidae. The transcript has 3 exons.
UGCGCGCAGGGGAAGGAAUGCGGGUGAGCGUGUGAAAGUGGCGAGGCUAAACUGGCAUUAUUUUCUAACUUCCACCCACUCUCACUGGAAGCAGCCAGUUGUCAAUGGCAGAGGAGGUUCUCUCGCGCAGCACAAAGUUUCCUUCAGCGCGUCUCUCUCUCCAUCUUCAGACGGCAGAAAACUCUCACAUCCUUCAGCCUUUUCUGGAGGCAAAACCACUGAACACACACACACAAGUACUGUGAGCACACUACUGAGUGCACUACAACCAGUGCACUACAUACAGUAGGGUCCAAAAAGGGCAGCGGUGCACCUGCGUCUGUCUGUCCUUGAGCUCCUGGAGGAGAAACAUGGAAAUAAAACACAAGAGGAGAUGAAGAGAGGAGUGUUAGUUCAAUAUACAGCCCAGAAACCACAGGAAAAGCAAACACCUCCAUCUGAAGCAUUUCCUCCUCAGGGACGGUCAAACCAUGACGGCGUCACAUACGAUUACAUCUACUGCAAAAUCCCUUCCACCUUCAACCCCACAGUAACAGAGAAACAACUGAGUGCUGAUGUUCCCCUGAGGCUGCUGUUGUGAUGAUUUUUGAGACAUUAUCAUGUUCUCAUACCUUUCUGACAGGAACAUUUUGAGGUUUUGUUGCUAAAUGAUCAGAUGGACCGAGUCAAAUCCAGACAUAUGACUGAGAUCUGUCAUAAACACCUUCAGGAACAGACUAAAUCAUCUGACGUCUGGACCACAAAAAUGCUCAACGGCACAUCGCUGUACAAAUCCCAACCUGCUCACGAUUACACAUGUAACGCAAGCAGUCGACAACUACCUUAAAUACAGCCAUCCACUUCAAAUCAACAAUCAGUUUCUCUACAGAAGCCACUGCAGAUUAGAUAUAGUAAAUAUUCACCAUGAUUUUACUGAAGAAGUCCGUUCUGCUCACCAAGGAUACAUUUAUUUGAUUAAAAAAUACAGUAAAAAAUUU